CGUCUGGCAGAGAUAACCGCUGAAAGCAUCUAAGCGGGAAACUUGCCUCAAGAUUAGAUCCCUCAUCCGUUAUGGAGUAAGACCGCUAGGAGACCACUAGCUUGAUAGGCGGCAAGUGUAAGUGCAGUAAUGUACUCAGCUAAGCCGUACUAAUGGUCGAGGGCUUACGAUA
RNAcentral lists this ribosomal RNA (172 nucleotides) under Chloroflexota bacterium. RNAcentral's name for it is "Chloroflexi bacterium (wastewater metagenome) partial 23S ribosomal RNA". It matches the Rfam family "Bacterial large subunit ribosomal RNA", at positions 2752 to 2925 of the family's 2925-position model. RNAcentral also lists the same sequence under 1 other name. The record is from RNAcentral. Lineage: Bacteria; Bacillati; Chloroflexota.